GUCUACGGCCAUACCACCCUGAAUGUGCCCAAUCUUGUCUGAUCUCAGAAGCUAAGCAGGGUUGGGCCUGGUUAGUAAUUGGAUGGGAG
RNAcentral lists this ribosomal RNA (89 nucleotides) under Ailuropoda melanoleuca (giant panda). The record is from RNAcentral. Lineage: Eukaryota; Metazoa; Chordata; Mammalia; Carnivora; Ursidae.